UGGAUCUGCGCUAUGAACCAACAGUUCUGGCUGCUUAGAGAACACAGGUUUAGGGUAGCCUUGUGCCCACAAGAGAACAUCUUUACACUGUAGGUUAUUCCCUUUCUUUCAAAUUCUUUCCAGAACUGUAACAUGUCGCGAGCCGGCAACGCAGAGCACUGUCCAGCAGUGUCUCAAACCUGAAAGACCAGCGGGGUGGAGAUGGGGCAGAGAGAAAGGAAGGACGCCAAGACAAGAGUCUGAUCAAGGCGGCGUUUAUUGCCGGCAAGCACCGGCCUUUUAAAGCAAAAAACCACAAACUAUUAUGGGAUGGGUUUACCAUAGUAACUGAAAGGUCACACAGGAAAAGAGCAAACAGGUUCACCAAAACAACCCACCGUGAGUAGUAGUAACCCGGACAACCACACAUCUAAAGGUCACACAGGAAAAGAGCAAACAGGUUCACCAAAACAACCCACCGUGAGUAGUAGUAACCCGGACAACCACACAUCUAAAGGUCAGAGACAAGAAACUGUAGCUUUCAGGAAUUCCACAAAGGAAACACUCUACCUGCUAAACUGGAGAAACUUAACACAUAUAGAGUUACUAAAGUUAACAAUACUUACAACCAAUACUCAUGAUCCCCAC
RNAcentral lists this long non-coding RNA (627 nucleotides) under Fukomys damarensis (Damara mole-rat). RNAcentral describes it as "lncRNA (ENSFDAG00000028838.1)". Lineage: Eukaryota; Metazoa; Chordata; Mammalia; Rodentia; Bathyergidae. The record is from RNAcentral.